This 1552-nucleotide long non-coding RNA is filed under the name Mizuhopecten yessoensis (Yesso scallop). RNAcentral's name for it is "uncharacterized LOC110441467". Lineage: Eukaryota; Metazoa; Mollusca; Bivalvia; Pectinida; Pectinidae. The record is from RNAcentral.
AUUAUAAAACACUACUUUGCAACGUAUAUUUUUUUUUAAAUAUGACGACCUUUUAAAAUGAAAUGAAAUGUAUGAUUACGAUACAUAAUUACAUUAGACAGGUACAACCUGUAAUACAAAAGUAUACACACAAUUUCACUGACUUCAAUACCUCAUCACAAACAUGCAUAGAUUUAUCCAGUACCUGUCAACUUACUCAUUCAUAAAGUUUUGUACUAUACACACAAAAUUACUCCAAUCAUAUUUUCACAAUUUCAUCUUCAACUUACUCACUUUUUCAUCAUAUCUAAAUAUCUUUCCAGUGAAAAAAAAAAAAAAAAGUGGAGAGCUCACAUAGAUAUAUCCACCCAAUGACCCCCAAAUCUAACCAGGUGUAGAACUCAAUGUUACCAGUCUAAUCAGGUGUAGAACUCAAUGUUACCAGUCUAACCAGGUGUAGAACUCAAUGUUACCAGUCUAAUCAGGUGUAGAACUCAAUGUUACCAGUCUAAUCAGGUGUAGAACUCAAUGUUACCAGUCUAAUCAGGUGUAGAACUCAAUGUUACCAGUCUAAUCAGGUGUAGAACUCAAUGUUACCAGUCUAAUCAGGUGUAGAACUCAAUGUUACCAGUCUAAUCAGGUGUAGAACUCAAUGUUACCAGUCUAAUCAGGUGUAGAACUCAAUGUUACCAGUCUAAUCAGGUGUAGAACUCAAUGUUACCAGUCUAAUCAGGUGUAGAACUCAAUGUUACCAGUCUAAUCAGGUGUAGAACUCAAUGUUACCAGUCUAAUCAGGUGUAGAACUCAAUGUUACCAGUCUAAUCAGGUGUAGAACUCAAUGUUACCAGUCUAAUCAGGUGUAGAACUCAAUGUUACCAGUCUAAUCAGGUGUAGAACUCAAUGUUACCAGUCUAAUCAGGUGUAGAACUCAAUGUUACCAGUCUAAUCAGGUGUAGAACUCAAUGUUACCAGUCUAAUCAGGUGUAGAACUCAAUGUUACCAGUCUAAUCAGGUGUAGAACUCAAUGUUACCAGUCUAAUCAGGUGUAGAACUCAAUGUUACCAGUCUAAUCAGGUGUAGAACUCAAUGUUACCAGUCUAAUCAGGUGUAGAACUCAAUGUUACCAGUCUAAUCAGGUGUAGAACUCAAUGUUACCAGUCUAAUCAGGUGUAGAACUCAAUGUUACCAGUCUAAUCAGGUGUAGAACUCAAUGUUACCAGUCUAAUCAGGUGUAGAACUCAAUGUUACCAGUCUAAUCAGGUGUAGAACUCAAUGUUACCAGUCUAAUCAGGUGUAGAACUCAAUGUUACCAGUCUAAUCAGGUGUAGAACUCAAUGUUACCAGUCUAAUCAGGUGUAGAACUCAAUGUUACCAGUCUAAUCAGGUGUAGAACUCAAUGUUACCAGUCUAAUCAGGUGUAGAACUCAAUGUUACCAGUCUAAUCAGGUGUAGAACUCAAUGUUACCAGUCUAAUCAGGUGUAGAACUCAAUGUUACCAGUCUAAUCAGGUGUAGAACUCAAUGUUACCAGUCUAAUCAGGUGUAGAACUCAAUGUUACCAGUCUAAUCAGGUG